Molecule: unclassified non-coding RNA, 598 nt
Filed under: Hevea brasiliensis (rubber tree)
Lineage: Eukaryota; Viridiplantae; Streptophyta; Magnoliopsida; Malpighiales; Euphorbiaceae
Source: RNAcentral
GGAUACUGAACCAAAACCCCACAAACAUCACCGCUUUUGUAAUUGAUAUCCUUAAGAUCCAUAGUAACUACCUUAAGGUCAAAACCUUCAGCUCUAGUCUUACAGAUAUCAAUAGUUUGUGGGUGACAGUUGCUUGCAACAAUAAAAGUCCUUUUCUUCCCUUUUAGGAUACUAUUACACAUAGCCAUGGCCUCAGCAGCAGCAGUCCCUUCAUCAAGCAAUGAAGCAUUUGACAUGGGCAAUCCAGUGAGAUCCGCAAUCAUGGUUUGAUAAUUAAGCAAGGACUCCAACCUCCCCUGAGAUAUCUCAGCUUGGUAAGGCGUGUACUGUGUGUACCAAGCCGGAUUCUCCAUUAUAUUUCUCAAAAUAACCGGUGGAACAUGUGUGUUAUAAUACCCCAUCCCUAUAUAUGACUUAAAAACCUUGUUCUUUGAUGCCAAUUUUUUCAUGUGUUCAAUCAUUUGACUCUCAGUUAGCCCCUCAUCAUACUUUGAGAACUUCAUUGAAUCAAUUCUAAUAGAUUUAGGCACAGUGGCAUCUAUCAACGAAUCAAGAUUAUAAAACCCACAUAACUCAGCCAUUUUAGUUUGCUCCUCCG